CAGAGGGUGCAAGCGUUGCUCGGAAUCAUUGGGCGUAAAGGGCAAGUAGGUGGUCUCAUUUGUCUUGUGUGAAAUCCUUGGGCUUAACUCAAGAAGUGCGCAAGAAACGGUGAGACUCGAGUUCUGGAGAGGGUCGUGGAAUUCCCAGUGUAGCGGUGAAAUGCGUAGAGAUCGGGAGGAACACCAGAGGCGAAGGCGGCGACCUGGACAGAUACUGACACUCAACUGCGAAAGCGUGGGGAGCAAACAGGAUUAGAUACCCUGGUAGUCCACGCUGUAAACGAUGGGAACUAGGUUUGGAGGGUCUUGACCCCCGCCGAACCGGAGCUAACGCAAUAAGUUCCCCGCCUGGGAAGUACGGUCGCAAGACUA
RNAcentral lists this ribosomal RNA (372 nucleotides) under uncultured organism. Its description in RNAcentral is "bacterial SSU rRNA". It matches the Rfam family "Bacterial small subunit ribosomal RNA", at positions 526 to 896 of the family's 1533-position model. The record is from RNAcentral.